RNAcentral lists this ribosomal RNA (394 nucleotides) under uncultured Anaeromyxobacter sp. Its description in RNAcentral is "bacterial SSU rRNA". It matches the Rfam family "Bacterial small subunit ribosomal RNA", at positions 67 to 447 of the family's 1533-position model. Lineage: Bacteria; Pseudomonadati; Myxococcota; Myxococcia; Myxococcales; Anaeromyxobacteraceae. The record is from RNAcentral.
CGAGAAAGCCCGCAAGGGUGAGUACAGCGGCGCACGGGUGCGUAACACGUGGGUAAUCUGCCCUGAAGUCCGGAAUAACUCGCCGAAAGGCGUGCUAAUGCCGGAUGAGACCACGGGAGCCUCGGCUCCUGCGGGAAAAGGUGGCCUCUGUAUACAAGCUAUCACUUCAGGAUGAGCCCGCGGCCCAUCAGCUCGUUGGCGGGGUAAUGGCCCACCAAGGCUACGACGGGUAGCUGGUCUGAGAGGACGAUCAGCCACACUGGAACUGAGACACGGUCCAGACUCCUACGGGAGGCAGCAGUGGGGAAUCUUGCGCAAUGGGCGAAAGCCUGACGCAGCAACGCCGCGUGUGUGAUGAAGGUCUUCGGAUCGUAAAGCACUGUCGCGAGGGACG